GGAUUAGUGGUGAAAUUGGUAAACACAUAUGUUUUAGAAACAUAAAAGGUAAAACUUUUAUUGGUUCAAGUCCAAUCUAAUCUA
RNAcentral lists this transfer RNA (84 nucleotides) under Capsaspora owczarzaki. RNAcentral's name for it is "tRNA-Leu". It matches the Rfam family "tRNA". Rfam says of the family: Transfer RNA (tRNA) molecules are approximately 80 nucleotides in length. The record is from RNAcentral. Lineage: Eukaryota; Filasterea; Ministeriida; Capsasporidae.